UGCAAGUCGAACGAUGAAGUUCCUUCGGGAAUGGAUUAGUGGCGAACGGGUGAGGAACACGUGAGAAACCUGCCUUUCAUUCUGGGAUAACACCGGGAAACCGGUGCUAGUACCGGAUACUCCAUCUUGGCGGCAUCGCCGAGCUGGGAAAAAAUUUUGAUGAAAGAUGGUCUCGCGGCCUAUCAGCUAGUUGGUGAGGUAAAGGCUCACCAAGGCGACGACGGGUAGCCGGCCUGAGAGGGCGACCGGCCACACUGGGACUGAGACACGGCCCAGACUCCUACGGGAGGCAGCAGUAGGGAAUAUUGGGCAAUGGGCGAAAGCCUGACCCAGCGACGCCGCGUGAGGGAUGAAGGUCUUCGGAUUGUAAACCUCUUUCAGUAGGGAAGAAGCGAAAGUGACGGUACCUAAAGAAGAAGCACCGGCUAACUAUGUGCCAGCAGCCGCGGUAAUACAUAGGGUGCAAGCGUUGUCCGGAAUUAUUGGGCGUAAAGAGCUCGUAGGUCGUUUGUCGCGUCGAUUGUGAAAAUCUGAGGCUCAACCUCAGACCUGCAGUCGAUACGGGCAAACUAGAGUGUGGUAGGGGAGACUGGAAUUCCUGGUGUAGCGGUGGAAUGCGCAGAUAUCAGGAGGAACACCAAUGGCGAAGGCAGGUCUCUGGGCCAUAACUGACACUGAGGAGCGAAAGUGCGGGGAGCGA
This 700-nucleotide ribosomal RNA is filed under the name uncultured bacterium. Its description in RNAcentral is "bacterial SSU rRNA". It matches the Rfam family "Bacterial small subunit ribosomal RNA", at positions 56 to 771 of the family's 1533-position model. The record is from RNAcentral.